GACGAACGCUGGCGGCGUGCUUAACACAUGCAAGUCGAACGGACAGGCCCUGCUUGCAGUGUACUCGCGUGGCGAACGGGUGAGUAACACGUGGGUGAUCUGCCCUGCUCUUCGGGUUAAGCCUGUUCAACUGGGUCUAAUACCUGCUAGGUGCUAUUUUUAGUGUGAUGGUUGGAAAGUUUUUUCGGUGUUGGCUGAGCUCGCUGCCUAUCAGCUUGUUGGGUGGGUAAUGGCCUACCAAGGCGGCGACGGGUAGCCGGCCUGCGUGGGUGGACGGCCACAUUGAGACUGAGAGAAGGCACAAACAGCGACGGGAGGGAGAAGUGGGGAAGAUUGAAGAAUGGGCGCAAGGCUGAUGAAGCGACGCCGCGGGGGGGAGGACGGCCUUCGGGGUGUAAACUACUUGCGCAAGGGACGAAGCAUGUUGUGACGGUACCUAGAGAAGAAGCACCGGCUAACUACGUG
Molecule: ribosomal RNA, 465 nt
Filed under: uncultured bacterium
Lineage: Bacteria
Description: partial 16S ribosomal RNA
Rfam family: Bacterial small subunit ribosomal RNA
Source: RNAcentral